Pelobates cultripes (western spadefoot toad) is the source of this 469-nucleotide non-coding RNA. The record is from the annotation of a GenBank genome assembly. NCBI's taxonomy places the organism in Eukaryota, Metazoa, Chordata, Amphibia, Anura, Pelobatidae.
CCUGGUUGGGUCUGACAGUGCUGACCCUCCUGCAGAGGGCUGAUGGGUAGCCCCAUCAUCUAAUUGCAUCUCCGGGGGCCGGGACGGACACCCUGCUGAAAUGCUGCAUGACUUUCUUCCAGGUGCCCUGUGAAUGGCCACAUGAUGCAGUGCACUUUAUGUUGGAGCACAGGUACGAAGAUCUGUAAAGGGACUAUAAAUGGUCAUUUUAUACAGUGACAAGAGUUUGUUGUCACAUUCUAAGAAGAAAUGUGGCUAUGUAAAUGCAAAUGUAUGGAUUUACGGAUGUGUGUAAAUAUGUUACUCUAUCUGUGUAUAUGUAAAUAUGUCAUUGUAUGUAUGUGCAUCUGUGUUAAUUUUGUCGUCUAACUAUUUUAGUCGACUAACAUUUUUGAGAUUUAGUCGGCUAAAAGUAGACUAAAACAAAAACAAUUCCAAGAUUUUACUAGUAACAUGACGUAAAGUCAUG